Molecule: long non-coding RNA, 439 nt
Organism: Delphinapterus leucas (beluga whale)
Lineage: Eukaryota; Metazoa; Chordata; Mammalia; Artiodactyla; Monodontidae
Source: RefSeq, a predicted model, not a curated record
GCAUUUACUACCAUAAGAGCACUGAUAAAGGAGUGACUUAUGUCAUGGAGAGGGCAUUCCUGAAGGAGCAAAAUACAUAAGCAAAGGCACAGAGGUGAGAAAGCAAUGGAGAUACUUAUGGUCCGAUAUGGUUCAGCACCAGAACGCUGGACCCCCCAGGAACCUCCCUGAGGUCUCUGCCUCUUCAGCCUUAAACUCUCCUGCACCUCCAAUUCCAUACCACUUGGGAAAACCCUAACCCAAGAUUUCUUCAUCACAGUUCCUUAGGCUUAUAUGAAAAUGCUCCUGCUACCUCAUGGAAAUAUUUGCAUUCUAACCAAAUAAUUUCAAGGCUUCUCAAAGGCUGAGGGAGAUCCAGGCUGCCUCCAUUAUUUUUGAGGUUCCCAGUAUAUUAAACUUUUUAAAAAUACUAAAAUAAAGUUUUAAAAAUCGGUGGUGU